RNAcentral lists this ribosomal RNA (527 nucleotides) under uncultured fungus. Its description in RNAcentral is "eukaryotic LSU rRNA". The stretch from base 242 to 527 matches the Rfam family "Eukaryotic large subunit ribosomal RNA", at positions 1 to 284 of the family's 3401-position model. The record is from RNAcentral. Lineage: Eukaryota; Fungi.
GCUAGAAGGUUAUCCUUUUAGCAUGCUUGUUUCAGUGUCUUUUUAUUUCCUAACCGAAAUCAUAAUGCGAGAGAUAUCCUUCUCUUGUUAAGCAUGAAAGCACUCUGCGCUCUGCGAGCGGCUUCGAUUCGUCGAGGGUCGCACUCAAUGCAGCAGUCACAUUGUUUACAGUGUGAACUCAUUGAGAGUAGAGGCAGUGCGGUGUAACAACUGCCAGUGCUUAGACNCUCAAACUUUUCUUGUAUCUGAANUCAAGCAGGAUCACCCGCUGAACUUAAGCAUAUCACUAAGCGGAGGAGAAGAAAUUAACUAAGAUUGCCUCAGUAACGGCGAGUGAAGCGGCAAAAGCCCAAACUGUAAAUCUUGUGCACUACGUGUACACGAAUUGUAAUCUAGAGAGAGUUCACUCAACGUGCGGGGGCGCAGAAGUGACCACUNAACGGUCCGCNAGAGAGGGUGAAAGCCCCGUAUGUGGUGUCCCUGCUUAACGAGUGGNUUUUCGAAGAGUCGGGUUGUUUUGUAUUGCA